CCCUUAGAUGUUCUGGGCCGCACGCGCGCUACAAUGAUGAAUUCAACGAGUUUAUAACCUUGGUUGAAAAGCCUGGGUAAUCUUUUGAACUUUCGUCGUGAUGGGGCUAGACCCUUGCAGUUAUUGGUCUCCAACGAGGAAUUCCUAGUAAACGCAAGUCAUCAGCUUGCAUUGAUUACGUCCCUGCCCUUUGUACACACCGCCCGUCGCACCUACCGAUUGAAUGGUCCGGUGAAAUCUUCGGAUUGAGACUUUGAUUUCUUCACGGAAAACGCUGUUUUAAAAAGUUGAUUAAACCUUACCAUUUAGAGGAAGGUGAAGUCGUAACA
RNAcentral lists this ribosomal RNA (329 nucleotides) under uncultured eukaryote. Its description in RNAcentral is "partial 18S ribosomal RNA". It matches the Rfam family "Eukaryotic small subunit ribosomal RNA", at positions 1470 to 1796 of the family's 1831-position model. The record is from RNAcentral.